CAUACUUUUAUUUCCAUGCACCAGUUUCAAUUGUGGUUCUAGCAACUAUCUGUUCAAUCAACAAUAUUGAUGACAAAAAUUGUUUUGUAAACUCAGUUACCAGAUCUGAAUAGAUAUCAGUGUGGAGAUCGCUGGAGAGUCUCGUGUUGCUCUGUCUUUUGUCAUGUUUUCUCUCACACCCUUCUCAUCUCUAUAAAUACCCAAUCUGGAAGAAUCUGCAAGAAAGGAAGAAGUUACUCAUCAGGAGUUUAUAGAUCCAAAAGUUUGCCUCAGGAUGAUCAGAAUAGUUCAGCUGUUGUGUCUUUCUGGCUUUCUUCUACUGUGUGAAGGUCAGGGUCUCCAGACAUGCCUCACUCACCCCACGUACAGACCGGCAGAAAACGCCGACAUAACAGUGGUGUGUGGAAUCAGUCAUAUUUUUUUAAAAGUUUUAAUUUGUCCAAUGUAUUUCGGGGGAUACCACGAAUCAUUAAUAGCGCUCAAUUCUAAGUUCAACGCCCCAGCCUGCCAUGGAGUAUCGGACUGGACUGUCAAUCCUCCCGUCUUGCUGUUCAACUUCUCAAUCUCUCAGGAGGUGCUCACCCUCUGUGGCAACAAU
This is a long non-coding RNA of Sinocyclocheilus grahami, 598 nucleotides long. RefSeq lists it as uncharacterized. NCBI's taxonomy places the organism in Eukaryota, Metazoa, Chordata, Actinopteri, Cypriniformes, Cyprinidae. The record is from RefSeq and is a predicted model, not a curated record. The transcript is spliced from 3 exons.